Molecule: non-coding RNA, 197 nt
Filed under: Schlesneria paludicola
Lineage: Bacteria; Pseudomonadati; Planctomycetota; Planctomycetia; Planctomycetales; Planctomycetaceae
Description: 6S RNA
Rfam family: 6S / SsrS RNA
About the family: E. coli 6S RNA was the first non coding RNA to be sequenced, but its function was unknown until recently. It consists of 184 nucleotides that fold into an extended hairpin structure with a large single-stranded internal bulge.
Source: RNAcentral
GAGCCUCUGCAGUGUCCGACAGAGCCUGAUGCGUUGACCCUACACAUACUUCUAAGGAUGUCGGAUCGGUUCGGCCGCGUGUCAUACCGUUUCCGCUCAAGUGGGCGGUCCCGGCUCACACAACCCGGACCCUCGGCGUCCCCCUGAACUUUAAGGGUUCAGAACCUUCAACGCUCACCGGCACAGGUGGAGGCUUC